Molecule: ribosomal RNA, 3424 nt
Filed under: Drosophila melanogaster (fruit fly)
Lineage: Eukaryota; Metazoa; Arthropoda; Insecta; Diptera; Drosophilidae
Description: eukaryotic LSU rRNA
Rfam family: Eukaryotic large subunit ribosomal RNA
Source: RNAcentral
AACCAUGAGACCGAUAGUAAACAAGUACCGUGAGGGAAAGUUGAAAAGAACUCUGAAUAGAGAGUUAAACAGUACGUGAAACUGCUUAGAGGUUAAGCCGCGAUGAACCUGAAUAUCCGUUAUGGAAAAUUCAUCAUUAAAAUUGUAAUAUUUAAAUAAUAUUAUGAGAAUAGUGUGCAUUUUUUCCAUAUAAGGACAUUGUAAUCUAUUAGCAUAUACCAAAUUUAUCAUAAAAUAUAACUUAUAGUUUAUUCCAAUUAAAUUGUUAAUUUUUCGGAAUUAUAUAAUGGCAUAAUUAUCAUUGAUUUUUGUGUUUAUUAUAUGCACUUGUAUGAUUAACAAUGCGAAAGAUUCAGGAUACCUUCGGGACCCGUCUUGAAACACGGACCAAGGAGUCUAACAUAUGUGCAAGUUAUUGGGAUAUAAACCUAAUAGCGUAAUUAACUUGACUAAUAAUGGGAUUAGUUUUUUAGCUAUUUAUAGCUAAUUAACACAAUCCGGGGCGUUCUAUAUAGUUAUGUAUAAUGUAUAUUUAUAUUAUUUAUGCCUCUAACUGGAACGUACCUUGAGCAUAUAUGCUGUGACCCGAAAGAUGGUGAACUAUACUUGAUCAGGUUGAAGUCAGGGGAAACCCUGAUGGAAGACCGAAACAGUUCUGACGUGCAAAUCGAUUGUCAGAAUUGAGUAUAGGGGCGAAAGACCAAUCGAACCAUCUAGUAGCUGGUUCCUUCCGAAGUUUCCUCAGGAUAGCUGGUGCAUUUUAAUAUUAUAUAAAAUAAUCUUAUCUGGUAAAGCGAAUGAUUAGAGGCCUUAGGGUCGAAACGAUCUUAACCUAUUCUCAAACUUUAAAUGGGUAAGAACCUUAACUUUCUUGAUAUGAAGUUCAAGGUUAUGAUAUAAUGUGCCCAGUGGGCCACUUUUGGUAAGCAGAACUGGCGCUGUGGGAUGAACCAAACGUAAUGUUACGGUGCCCAAAUUAACAACUCAUGCAGAUACCAUGAAAGGCGUUGGUUGCUUAAAACAGCAGGACGGUGAUCAUGGAAGUCGAAAUCCGCUAAGGAGUGUGUAACAACUCACCUGCCGAAGCAACUAGCCCUUAAAAUGGAUGGCGCUUAAGUUGUAUACCUAUACAUUACCGCUAAAGUAGAUGAUUUAUAUUACUUGUGAUAUAAAUUUUGAAACUUUAGUGAGUAGGAAGGUACAAUGGUAUGCGUAGAAGUGUUUGGCGUAAGCCUGCAUGGAGCUGCCAUUGGUACAGAUCUUGGUGGUAGUAGCAAAUAAUCGAAUGAGACCUUGGAGGACUGAAGUGGAGAAGGGUUUCGUGUGAACAGUGGUUGAUCACGAGUUAGUCGGUCCUAAGUUCAAGGCGAAAGCCGAAAAUUUUCAAGUAAAAAAAAAGCCUAACUAUAUAAACAAAGCGAAUUAUAAUACACUUGAAUAAUUUUGAACGAAAGGGAAUACGGUUCCAAUUCCGUAACCUGUUGAGUAUCCGUUUGUUAUUAAAUAUGGGCCUCGUGCUCAUCCUGGCAACAGGAACGACCAUAAAGAAGCCGUCGAGAGAUAUCGGAAGAGUUUUCUUUUCUGUUUUAUAGCCGUACUACCAUGGAAGUCUUUCGCAGAGAGAUAUGGUAGAUGGGCUAGAAGAGCAUGACAUAUACUGUUGUGUCGAUAUUUUCUCCUCGGACCUUGAAAAUUUAUGGUGGGGACACGCAAACUUCUCAACAGGCCGUACCAAUAUCCGCAGCUGGUCUCCAAGGUGAAGAGUCUCUAGUCGAUAGAAUAAUGUAGGUAAGGGAAGUCGGCAAAUUAGAUCCGUAACUUCGGGAUAAGGAUUGGCUCUGAAGAUUGAGAUAGUCGGGCUUGAUUGGAAACAAUAACAUGGUUUAUGUGCUCGUUCUGGGUAAAUAGAGUUUCUAGCAUUUAUGUUAGUUACUUGUUCCCCGGAUAGUUUAGUUACGUAGCCAAUUGUGGAACUUUCUUGCUAAAAUUUUUAAGAAUACUAUUUGGGUUAAACCAAUUAGUUCUUAUUAAUUAUAACGAUUAUCAAUUAACAAUCAAUUCAGAACUGGCACGGACUUGGGGAAUCCGACUGUCUAAUUAAAACAAAGCAUUGUGAUGGCCCUAGCGGGUGUUGACACAAUGUGAUUUCUGCCCAGUGCUCUGAAUGUCAAAGUGAAGAAAUUCAAGUAAGCGCGGUCAACGGCGGGAGUAACUAUGACUCUCUUAAGGUAGCCAAAUGCCUCGUCAUCUAAUUAGUGACGCGCAUGAAUGGAUUAACGAGAUUCCUACUGUCCCUAUCUACUAUCUAGCGAAACCACAGCCAAGGGAACGGGCUUGGAAUAAUUAGCGGGGAAAGAAGACCCUUUUGAGCUUGACUCUAAUCUGGCAGUGUAAGGAGACAUAAGAGGUGUAGAAUAAGUGGAGAUAUUAGACCUCGGUUUGGUAUCGUCAAUGAAAUACCACUACUCUUAUUGUUUCCUUACUUACUUGAUUAAAUGGAACGUGUAUCAUUUCCUAGCCAUUAUACGGAUAUAUUUAUUAUAUCUUAUGGUAUUGGGUUUUGAUGCAAGCUUCUUGAUCAAAGUAUCACGAGUUUGUUAUAUAAUCGCAAACAAAUUCUUUAAUAAAACGAUGCAUUUAUGUAUUUUUGAUUUGAAAAUUUGGUAUAACUCCAAUUACUCAGGUAUGAUCCAAUUCAAGGACAUUGCCAGGUAGGGAGUUUGACUGGGGCGGUACAUCUCUCAAAUAAUAACGGAGGUGUCCCAAGGCCAGCUCAGUGCGGACAGAAACCACACAUAGAGCAAAAGGGCAAAUGCUGACUUGAUCUCGGUGUUCAGUACACACAGGGACAGCAAAAGCUCGGCCUAUCGAUCCUUUUGGUUUAAAGAGUUUUUAACAAGAGGUGUCAGAAAAGUUACCAUAGGGAUAACUGGCUUGUGGCGGCCAAGCGUUCAUAGCGACGUCGCUUUUUGAUCCUUCGAUGUCGGCUCUUCCUAUCAUUGUGAAGCAAAAUUCACCAAGCGUUGGAUUGUUCACCCAUGCAAGGGAACGUGAGCUGGGUUUAGACCGUCGUGAGACAGGUUAGUUUUACCCUACUAAUGACAAAACGUUGUUGCGACAGCAUUCCUGCGUAGUACGAGAGGAACCGCAGGUACGGACCAAUGGCACAAUACUUGUUCGAGCGAACAGUGGUAUGACGCUACGUCCGUUGGAUUAUGCCUGAACGCCUCUAAGGUCGUAUCCGUGCUGGACUGCAAUGAUAAAUAAGGGGCAAUUUGCAUUGUAUGGCUUCUAAACCAUUUAAAGUUUAUAAUUUACUUUAUAAACGACAAUGGAUGUGAUGCCAAUGUAAUUUGUAACAUAGUAAAUUGGGAGGAUCUUCGAUCACCUGAUGCCGCGCUAGUUACAUAUAAAAGCAUUAUUU